GAUGAACGCUGGCGGCGUGCCUAAUACAUGCAAGUCGAGCGAACAGACGAGGAGCUUGCUCCUCUGACGUUAGCGGCGGACGGGCGAGUAACACGUGGAUAACCUACCUAUAAGACUGGGAUAACUUCGGGAAACCGGAGCUAAUACCGGAUAAUAUAUUGAACCGCAUGGUUCAAUAGUGAAAGACGGUUUUGCUGUCACUUAUAGAUGGAUCCGCGCCGCAUUAGCUAGUUGGUAAGGUAACGGCUUACCAAGGCAACGAUGCGUAGCCGACCUGAGAGGGUGAUCGGCCACACUGGAACUGAGACACGGUCCAGACUCCUACGGGAGGCAGCAGUAGGGAAUCUUCCGCAAAGGGCGAAAGCUUGACGGAGCAACGCCGCGUGAGUGAUGAAGGUCUUCGGAUCGUAAAACUCUGUUAUUAGGGAAGAACAAAUGUGUAAGUAACUAUGCACGUCUUGACGGUACCUAAUCAGAAAGCCACGGCUAACUACGUG
This 497-nucleotide ribosomal RNA is filed under the name uncultured bacterium. RNAcentral describes it as "partial 16S ribosomal RNA". It matches the Rfam family "Bacterial small subunit ribosomal RNA", at positions 28 to 507 of the family's 1533-position model. The record is from RNAcentral.